RNAcentral lists this ribosomal RNA (497 nucleotides) under uncultured bacterium. Its description in RNAcentral is "partial 16S ribosomal RNA". It matches the Rfam family "Bacterial small subunit ribosomal RNA", at positions 28 to 507 of the family's 1533-position model. The record is from RNAcentral.
GAUGAACACUGGCGGCGUGCCUAAUACAUGCAAGUCGAGCGAACGGACGAGAAGCUUGCUUUUCUGAUGUUAGCGGCGGACGGGUGAGUAACACGUGGAUAACCUACCUAUAAGACUGUGAUAACUUCGGGAAACCGGAGCUAAUACCGGAUAAUAUUUUGAACCGCAUGGUUCAAAAGUGAAAGACGGUCUUGCUGUCACUUAUAGAUGGAUCCGCGCUGCAUUAGCUAGUUGGUAAGGUAACGGCUUACCAAGGCAACGAUGCAUAGCCGACCUGAGAGGGUGAUCGGCCACACUGGAACUGAGACACGGUCCAGACUCCUACGGGAGGCAGCAGUAGGGAAUCUUCCGCAAUGGGCGAAAGCCUGACGGAGCAACGCCGCGUGAGUGAUGAAGGUCUUCGGAUCGUAAAACUCUGUUAUUAGGGAAGAACAUAUGUGUAAGUAACUGUGCACAUCUUGACGGUACCUAAUCAGAAAGCCACGGCUAACUACGUG